GCCAGGAAGAGGGAGAAAGAGGUAAUCUAAGAGCAGUGGGAAUGGGAACAUGGAGGAAAAAUGAGCUAUUUCACUUCUAGAAUUGGAGGUGGAUAUUUGUCUCAGUAUUUUCCCGAUGCCUCCCAUUCCUAUCGUUCUUAGGUGCUCCUUCCUCUUCCUUUCAGCU
Molecule: non-coding RNA, 166 nt
Organism: Oryza punctata
Lineage: Eukaryota; Viridiplantae; Streptophyta; Magnoliopsida; Poales; Poaceae
Source: Rfam